AACGAACGCUGGCGGCAUGCUUAACACAUGCAAGUCGAACGAGACCUUCGGGUCUAGUGGCGCACGGGUUCGUAACGCGUGGGAAUCUGCCCUUUGCUACGGAAUAACUCAGAGAAAUUUGUGCUAAUGCCGUAUAAUGUCGAAAGACCAAAGGUUUAUCGGCAAAGGAUGAGCCAGCGUAGGAUUAGCUAGUUGGUGAGGUAAAGGAUCACCAAGGCGACGAUCCUUAGCUGGUCUGAGAGGAUGAUCAGCCAUCCUGGGACUGAGACACGGCCAAGAACACUACGGGAGGCAGCAGUGGGGAAUAUUGGACAAUGGGCGCAAGCAUGAUCCAGAAAUGCCGAGUGAGUGAUGAAGGCCUUAGGGUUGUAAAGCUCUUUUACCAGGGAUGAUAAUGACAGUACCUGGAGAAUAAGCUCCGGCUAACUCCGUUCCAGCCGCCGCGGUAA
RNAcentral lists this ribosomal RNA (449 nucleotides) under uncultured bacterium. Its description in RNAcentral is "partial 16S ribosomal RNA". It matches the Rfam family "Bacterial small subunit ribosomal RNA", at positions 29 to 523 of the family's 1533-position model. The record is from RNAcentral.